Molecule: long non-coding RNA, 822 nt
Filed under: Macaca mulatta (Rhesus monkey)
Lineage: Eukaryota; Metazoa; Chordata; Mammalia; Primates; Cercopithecidae
Description: lncRNA (ENSMMUG00000064897.1)
Source: RNAcentral
UUGUCCCAGUAAUGCGUUAACUUCUGUGCUGAGCAUCUCAACAUAGAUUAUGUGGGGAGAGGGAGGACCCUCCGGAAGAGUCCUGGCUGAGCUUAAUCAGCUUGUUAGCACAGAGAAGCAGUUGCAUCUGUGUCCCACGAAGAUAAACGCAGGUAUAACAAGGACUUACUGUAAGCAGCUGAGCUACAUUUUUCUGAGAUGAUUUUUUUCAUGUUGGCAGCUGCGAACCUGAACUGACUCCUAUGAACUAGUCUUCUCCAGCAAUAGACCCUCCUUCAACUUAUGGUAGCCUGUACACCAACGGUGACAGACUGGAAAGCAGGAUCCACUGGGACAUCUAUGGGAAAAGGAGGGGGAAUGAGAUCAAGGAUUGAGGACGCUAAUGGGGCACCAGCUCCACAAUGGCCAUCACUGAGCACAUAGAGGAGUGAAAUUUAAGGGGGCAGAGUGGAGCGUUCAUAGAUUCGAGUUCAACAUGAUCGAAGAUGGAAGGUAGAAGGCAGAAGGCAUGUGUGAUCCAUUUACUUUGGACAACAAGUACAUGGUCUACAAGGUGUCCACAUUGGCCUCUGGGAACCACGGACAGGGCCAAUGUAUAAUCACGGAGUUGUGCAAGGAUCAGCAUCCCAUGUUUACACUGACACUGCAAGUGAACAGAUAAAGAGGUUGAGAAGUGAAGAGAUGUCAUCCUGCUCAUCAGCAAUGGCAAGUGCUCAUUCCCAGGAUUUCUCAUUAGGUCAGCAUUCUUUCUACUAUGCUUUUCUACUAGACUAUUUUACUUCUUGCAUUACAUAAUAGUACAUUGUUAACUAAAAAUCAUGC